RNAcentral lists this ribosomal RNA (1397 nucleotides) under Escherichia coli. RNAcentral's name for it is "partial 23S ribosomal RNA". It matches the Rfam family "Bacterial large subunit ribosomal RNA", at positions 1552 to 2925 of the family's 2925-position model. Lineage: Bacteria; Pseudomonadati; Pseudomonadota; Gammaproteobacteria; Enterobacterales; Enterobacteriaceae. The record is from RNAcentral.
AAGGCUGAGGCGUGAUGACGAGGCACUACGGUGCUGAAGCAACAAAUGCCCUGCUUCCAGGAAAAGCCUCUAAGCAUCAGGUAACAUCAAAUCGUACCCCAAACCGACACAGGUGGUCAGGUAGAGAAUACCAAGGCGCUUGAGAGAACUCGGGUGAAGGAACUAGGCAAAAUGGUGCCGUAACUUCGGGAGAAGGCACGCUGAUAUGUAGGUGAAGUCCCUCGCGGAUGGAGCUGAAAUCAGUCGAAGAUACCAGCUGGCUGCAACUGUUUAUUAAAAACACAGCACUGUGCAAACACGAAAGUGGACGUAUACGGUGUGACGCCUGCCCGGUGCCGGAAGGUUAAUUGAUGGGGUCAGCGCAAGCGAAGCUCUUGAUCGAAGCCCCGGUAAACGGCGGCCGUAACUAUAACGGUCCUAAGGUAGCGAAAUUCCUUGUCGGGUAAGUUCCGACCUGCACGAAUGGCGUAAUGAUGGCCAGGCUGUCUCCACCCGAGACUCAGUGAAAUUGAACUCGCUGUGAAGAUGCAGUGUACCCGCGGCAAGACGGAAAGACCCCGUGAACCUUUACUAUAGCUUGACACUGAACAUUGAGCCUUGAUGUGUAGGAUAGGUGGGAGGCUUUGAAGUGUGGACGCCAGUCUGCAUGGAGCCGACCUUGAAAUACCACCCUUUAAUGUUUGAUGUUCUAACGUUGACCCGUGAUCCGGGUUGCGGACAGUGUCUGGUGGGUAGUUUGACUGGGGCGGUCUCCUCCUAAAGAGUAACGGAGGAGCACGAAGGUUGGCUAAUCCUGGUCGGACAUCAGGAGGUUAGUGCAAUGGCAUAAGCCAGCUUGACUGCGAGCGUGACGGCGCGAGCAGGUGCGAAAGCAGGUCAUAGUGAUCCGGUGGUUCUGAAUGGAAGGGCCAUCGCUCAACGGAUAAAAGGUACUCCGGGGAUAACAGGCUGAUACCGCCCAAGAGUUCAUAUCGACGGCGGUGUUUGGCACCUCGAUGUCGGCUCAUCACAUCCUGGGGCUGAAGUAGGUCCCAAGGGUAUGGCUGUUCGCCAUUUAAAGUGGUACGCGAGCUGGGUUUAGAACGUCGUGAGACAGUUCGGUCCCUAUCUGCCGUGGGCGCUGGAGAACUGAGGGGGGCUGCUCCUAGUACGAGAGGACCGGAGUGGACGCAUCACUGGUGUUCGGGUUGUCAUGCCAAUGGCACUGCCCGGUAGCUAAAUGCGGAAGAGAUAAGUGCUGAAAGCAUCUAAGCACGAAACUUGCCCCGAGAUGAGUUCUCCCUGACUCCUUGAGAGUCCUGAAGGAACGUUGAAGACGACGACGUUGAUAGGCCGGGUGUGUAAGCGCAGCGAUGCGUUGAGCUAACCGGUACUAAUGAACCGUGAGGCUUAACCUU